Molecule: ribosomal RNA, 443 nt
Filed under: uncultured bacterium
Lineage: Bacteria
Description: SSU rRNA
Rfam family: Bacterial small subunit ribosomal RNA
Source: RNAcentral
AGAACGAACGCUGGCGGCAGGCUUAACACAUGCAAGUCGAGCGCCCCGCAAGGGGAGCGGCAGACGGGUGAGUAACGCGUGGGAAUCUACCCAACUCUACGGAAUAGCUUCGGGAAACUGGAAUUAAUACCGUAUACGCCCUACGGGGGAAAGAUUUAUCGGAGUUGGAUGAGCCCGCGUUGGAUUAGCUAGUUGGUGGGGUAAUGGCCUACCAAGGCGACGAUCCAUAGCUGGUCUGAGAGGAUGAUCAGCCACACUGGGACUGAGACACGGCCCAGACUCCUACGGGAGGCAGCAGUGGGGAAUAUUGGACAAUGGGCGAAAGCCUGAUCCAGCCAUGCCGCGUGAGUGAUGAGGCCUUAGGGUUGUAAAGCUCUUUCAGUGGGGAAGAUAAUGACGGUACCCACAGAAGACGCCCGGCUAACUUCGCGCCAGCACGCCGC